This 440-nucleotide ribosomal RNA is filed under the name uncultured bacterium. RNAcentral's name for it is "partial 16S ribosomal RNA". It matches the Rfam family "Bacterial small subunit ribosomal RNA", at positions 339 to 795 of the family's 1533-position model. The record is from RNAcentral.
CUACGGGGGGCUCCAGUGAGGAAUAUUGCACAAUGGGGGGAACCCUGAUGCAGCAACGCCGCGUGGAGGAUGACGCAUUUCGGUGUGUAAACUCCUUUUAUAUGUCAAGAAAAUGACGGUAGCAUAUGAAUAAGCACCGGCUAACUCCGGUGCCAGCAGCCGCGGUAAUACGGAGGGUGCAAGCGUUACUCGGAAUCACUGGGCGUAAAGGACGCGUAGGCGGGUUGGAAAGUCAGGUGUGAAAUCCUACAGCUUAACUGUAGAACUGCACUUGAAACUUCUAAUCUAGAGUAUGGGAGGGGGAGAUGGAAUUAGUGGUGUAGGGGUAAAAUCCGUAGAUAUCACUAGGAAUACCUAAAGCGAAGGCGAUCUCCUGGAACAUUACUGACGCUAAGGCGUGAAAGCGUGGGGAGCAAACGGGAUUAGAUACCCCAGUAGUC